Salvia miltiorrhiza (redroot sage) is the source of this 3986-nucleotide long non-coding RNA. RefSeq lists it as uncharacterized. The transcript has 2 exons. The record is from RefSeq and is a predicted model, not a curated record. NCBI's taxonomy places the organism in Eukaryota, Viridiplantae, Streptophyta, Magnoliopsida, Lamiales, Lamiaceae.
AAGAAAAACACUUGAUUUAAACAAAAGAAAUGUGCCAGCGUAUAUACAGAUUUAGAAAGAAAAACAAAAUUUCAAGGCAGCCAACAUAUAUACAGAUUUAGAAAGAAAUGGGCCACUCAAUUCUAAUUAACAUUAACUAUUUUUUUAAUCAAACCAUUUCUGCAUUUAAUUAUCUUCAACAACCAAAAAAAUGCAUUAAUUGUCCUCCUCAAAACCCUACUAUAAAUACCAAUGACAACACACGACGGCGCCGCACCGGCCUUUACAGCGCCCCUCUCUGCAAAUUCUCUCUUCGCAGCCCUUUACAGCCCCCCUCUCUCCACCUCCGAUCCAUUUUUUUUCACUGCCAUAUCUACAAAGCAUAAGCAACAAUUUCUCUCUUCGCAGCCCACACUCUUUCUACUCUAUUGGGUUUUUUUUUUACCAUUCUACAAAUCUGAAAAAACAACUUUUUCACAGAAGAAUACAAUACAGAUAUCCAUUUGAAGAAGCGGUUGUUGCAGAUCUAAAGAUUCAGAUCGGCGAAUAUAUUAGAUCUACAUAACUACAUUGAAUCACAUCUUACAUCCACAAAAAAAAAAGUUGAGUUUCCAAAAAAUGUUAAUCAUCUAAAUCUACAUUUAUGUAACUAAAAAACAUUUCAAUCCUCUAUAUCGCAGAUUUUCGAAGAAGUAGUGUUCAUCAUUUACAUCUACAACUACCUAAUAUAAGCAAGUAAUCACUUAUCUUCAAAAAGAAUUCAAAAUAAAUCACCAUUACACUCACAUGAUUCGACGAUGUCUUCCUUCUUCCGUUUACCACAUAUCUUCGUAGAUUUACUUAACUUCUUCAUAUCACCUUUUCACCACAGCAACAGUACCUUGGCCAAAACCCAAAAAAAUAAGUCCCUUGUUAGUGAACACGUAGAAUGAUUUUAUUAAUUUGAAAUGGCUUUGUAAACACUGUCAAGUUUUUUUUUAUUCAUCAUUGUUUAUAUCUUCUUAUGUGCUUUUUAACAUACUAAGUAUCCUUUUUUCAUAUAUAUGUACAAUUGUAACAGUUCUAGAGUUCCAUCAAACAGUACAAAAAAAUUCCUUCAAAUUCAGUUUAACUAUUAUGAUAUUUUACCUAAGAUACUUUAGUUAAGAAAUUCUCCUUCAAAUUCAGUUUUACAAAAAAAAAAAUCCUUCAAAUUCAGUACCUUCAAUACCUUCAAUAUGAAUUACACACACAUCAUAAUUCCUUCAUUUUAACUAUUAUGAUAAUUUACAUUGCUUUUCACUUAAUUUUCCUUCAAAUUCAGUUUUACAAAAAAAAUAUUAAUCUCAGUGCAAUUUUAAAACGAAAAAAUUGGGUUUUUUUUACAAUCGAGUCAUAAACCAAAUCAUAAAUCAAUUUUUAAUUCAGGCGCUACUCUAUAAUUUUUUUUUUCUAUCAUCAUAAAUGCGUUUCAGUCUGACCAUGCUUUUUUUCUCUAUCAUAAUAAAUGAUCUGUACAACUAUUUUUUAAUUCAGCUGCUAAGAAAUGCUCUAUAAAGCUAUUCAUCUGAAUCACAAAUAGUUGCAAAAGAAUUUAUUAAUUGAGGCACUAAGAAAUGGCGGCUAUAGUACAAAUUUGGAAGUAAAAAAUUGAACUUUAAAAAAAAAUCUUUCUCUAAGAUUCGUAUAAUAAAUAUCAGCAUUAAUUAGUGCACAUGCAAGCCCACACAAAAUACAUAUACAUAUAUCACGCAAAUCAAAACAAAAAUUGUGAGGCUCAAAAUAAAAGCCGGGAAACUGUGUGUCUCGAAUUGUAUUUAUGAAAGUAAAUAGAAUUCAUGUUAAAAAUUACUACAAUAAAUAAAUUGGUGUAUUUGUUGACACUUUUUAAAGUUCAUGUUACAAAUCAAAAUAUGUCCAAAUUUAGUGUAUUUAUAUGCCAAUAACCCAUAAAAUAAUAAUAAAUAAAAUCGUAACCAUGUAGUCAAUACAGCGCCCAUCAAACUUGUUAAAUUUGGAUAAAUAAAAAGAACAGUUAAAAUAUCUUGGGCGGAGGGUGAAACUUUCUUCAUUAUUCAAAAAUCAAUUAAUCAUAAUUAUGAACAAAUUAUAAAUAACUUAAAGAAGUCAUAUUGAAAAAUCAAUUAGAGCAUUAAUCAUCCUUCUGUAUUUUUAAAACAGAAGAUCUUUAUUUUUUUUGCAUAUUUAUCUUUCUUUUUUUAAUUUUUUUCAUUCUUUAGUUUUUUUGUGUGUUUAUCUUAUAAUUUUCAUUUUCAUAGAUCUAAUAAUAUCUACACUAAUGGGUUCAUAAAGAAUAAUUUUUUUAUACUGAGAUCUUUAUUUUUUUUUCGCUUAUUAGUUUUUGGUUUUGUACAUUUUCAUUUUUAUUGUUUUGAUAGUAUCUUUAGGUUCUUUAAGUAUGCCAGGGUUCACCGCUUGGUUCCCGAACCUCCUGUCUUCCCCACACGUACUCAAGUACUUGAAUAUUCGUCUUCUUCUUCUCUGUCACUUGACUUCUCUGCUCUGCCACUUCUUCCUCUCCUCUGCUCGAGAAGACUCGACUUCUCUGCUCUGGCAGACUUGACUUCUCUGCUCUGCCACUUCUUCCUCUCCUCUGCUCGAGAAGACUCGGCUUCUCUUCUCUGGCAUACUUGAAUUCUCUGAUCUGGCACUUCUUCCUCUCCUUUGCUCGAGAAGACUCGGCUUCUCUGCUCUGGCAGAAUUGACUUCUCUACUCUGCCACUUCUUCCUCUCCUCUGCUCGAGAAGACUCGGCUUCUCUGCUGUGGCAGACUUGACUUCUCUACUCUGCCACUUCUUCCUCUCCUCUGAUCGAGAAGACUCGGCUUCUCUGCUCUGGCAGACUUGACUUCUCUCCUCUGCCACUUCUUCCUCUCCUCUGCUCGAGAAGACUCGGCUUCUCUGCUCUGGCAGACUUGACUUCUAUGCUCUGCCACUUGACUUAUUAAUGGUAUCAAAAUCGUAAAAAACGUGUGGAGAGUUGGCCCAAUUCUCAUGAAAAUGAGUGAAGAAAAUUGGUACCAAAAUAUAGUAUAUAUAUUGAGCCUGUGCUCUCAAGGUUUUUUCAAUCUUCUUUUUUCAAUAAAAUUUUCAUUUCAGCAGAUAAAUUUUAACUUUAGUCUGCAAGGUUUAAAGUAUUUUCUUUUAAGUGAAGUCUCUUGGUGCUAAAGUGAAGUAUCUUGUAUUUUAUGUGAAUGAUUGUUUUAAUAUAUUUUCUAAAAAAUACAAAUAUGUCUGCAUUAAAAAACAAAUGUUUUAAAUUAAUUUAAUUCUCACAUUUUAGAUGCACAUAAAUAAUAAAUAAGGCAAUAUAAUGAAUAUGCAACAGAUAUCAUUCUCAUUGCAUAUUAGAAAAUAAAAAAUACAAUAACUGAGCUAUGUCUACUCAGAUUUCCUACAGACAGCCCUUCUCAUAAUCAUAACAUGCUAAUCUUACAGACUUGACUUAACUCUUACUUGCUUACAUACUGAUGAGGAGUAAUAUGUGCAGAUUAGGGAAAGAAUACAAAUCAGAGGAAUCGACCCCACUGGCGGGACGAAUAUGAUAGAAGAGAUACACUCAUCAGAGAAGUCAAUUCCAUCAGAGAGGUCACCAUCAUCAGAGAAGUCAUCCCCCUCAGAGAAGUCACCAUUGCCAGAGAAGUCCUCCACGCCAGAGAAGUCAUCCACGUCAGAGAAGUCCUCCACGCCAGAGAAGUCAUCAACGUCAGAGAAAUCCUCCACGCCAGAGAGGUCAUCCACGUCAGAGAAGUCCUCCACGCCAGGGAAGUCAUCCGUGCCAGAGAGAUCGCCUCUUUCAGAAGGAUCGCCAAAGACGCGGAGGAUUUUCCCGCGUGAAGAUGAAAUUCCUGAUAUACCCUUCAAUCACGUCAAACGCAUGCACUAGCAUCAAUUUUACCUUUUUACCCUCAAUUGUAAUCUAUAAAUAGGCCUCGUGCUCGUGUAUUACAUUUUUUACGCUAUCACUCGCUUUUGAAUACAACAGCUACAUUUUGCUCUCGUGUUCAA